Molecule: long non-coding RNA, 209 nt
Filed under: Linum usitatissimum (flax)
Lineage: Eukaryota; Viridiplantae; Streptophyta; Magnoliopsida; Malpighiales; Linaceae
Description: long non-coding RNA (LUSI_LNC000116)
Source: RNAcentral
CACAACGUAGCCUUGGGAGACUUUGUUUCAAAUUGCUGGGUUGUUUCAAACUUGGAUAUGAACCAUGUGCACAGAUAUGAGUUGUAGUAGGUAAAUUUAACAAGUGGGAGUGCAGGGUGGUUAUUAAGUAGAGCGAGUUUCAUGGGUUCUUUUGCCUUGUGCCAAUGUAAAAUGCAAUACGUGUGUAAAUACUAAAUAGAUAUGUCGUU